Molecule: long non-coding RNA, 227 nt
Filed under: Lathyrus oleraceus (garden pea)
Lineage: Eukaryota; Viridiplantae; Streptophyta; Magnoliopsida; Fabales; Fabaceae
Description: Pisum sativum (pea) long non-coding RNA (PSAT_LNC013145)
Source: RNAcentral
AGCCUUAAUGUCAAGAACCAUUUGAUGUUGAACUAUGAACUUGUCAUGCUCCUUUGUUGUGAUUUCUUCUACUAAUAUAUCAUGUUGAGAGUUUGGAAUAAAGGAACUUUCACGUGCUGAGAUAACCAAUGAAUCCUACACAACCUGAUAACACAUAAAUUGUUAAUUAUCAAAGUGGUUUAUAUAAUACUUAACAUAUGCACAACAAGUCCUACCUACAAUUUUCU